GACUGUGCGAAGGUAGCAUAAUAAUUUGCCUUUUAAUUAGGGGAUGGAAUGAAUGGUUAGACGAGGGUAGAACUGUCUCAUAUAUAUUUAUUAGAAGUUGAUCUUUAGGUUAAAAAGCCUAAAUUACAUUAAAGGACGAGAAGACCCUAUUAAGCUUAAAAAAAUACUAUAGCUAUUACUAUACUGCUAAAUGUAACGUUAAUAGUAAUAUUUUAGUUGGGGCGACUUGGGAGUAAACAAAACCUCCUUUGGUUUAAAUAAAACUUAAUUUAUGGUCCAAAAGAUUUUGAGGUAAGAACAAGUUACUAUAGGGAUAACAGCGUAAUUUUAUUUGAGAGUUCUAAUCGAAAAUAAAGUUUGCGACCUCGAUGUUGGAUUAAGAAGUAGUGAAGGUUGCAGAA
This 401-nucleotide ribosomal RNA is filed under the name Plectostoma concinnum. Its description in RNAcentral is "partial 16S ribosomal RNA". It matches the Rfam family "Bacterial large subunit ribosomal RNA", at positions 1944 to 2560 of the family's 2925-position model. The record is from RNAcentral. Lineage: Eukaryota; Metazoa; Mollusca; Gastropoda; Architaenioglossa; Diplommatinidae.